GACAGAGGAUGUAAGCGUUAUCCGGAAUGAUUGGGCGUAAAGCGUCUGUAGGUGGCUUUUUAAGUUCGCUGUCAAAUCCCAGGGCUCAACCCUGGAUAGGUGGUGAAAACUACUAAGCUAGAGUACGGUAGGGGCAGAGGGAAUUUCCAGUGGAGCGAUGAAAUACAUAGAGAUCGGAAGGAACACCAACGACAAAAGCACUCUGCUGGGCCGACACUGACACUGAGAGACGAAAACUAGGGGAGCGAAU
RNAcentral lists this ribosomal RNA (250 nucleotides) under uncultured bacterium. RNAcentral describes it as "partial 16S ribosomal RNA". It matches the Rfam family "Bacterial small subunit ribosomal RNA", at positions 524 to 773 of the family's 1533-position model. The record is from RNAcentral.